RNAcentral lists this long non-coding RNA (2284 nucleotides) under Theobroma cacao (cacao). RNAcentral describes it as "long non-coding RNA (TCAC_LNC003053)". Lineage: Eukaryota; Viridiplantae; Streptophyta; Magnoliopsida; Malvales; Malvaceae. The record is from RNAcentral.
CGCAAGGCUUUAAUAUCAAUUUCUCAUUUCUCCUGUGAGUAACCGUUGCCAAAUAUCAUGUUCUAAAAGAUUUUAAGCUAUUUCCAACUUAAAUCAAUAAAAAAAAAUGAUUUUUGUCUCACAGGGGCAUUUUGGUCAUUUUUUCUCAAAAAUUUUGAAACCAGCUAAAAAUGUAGUAUGCGAGUAUAAAACACAUAAUUCAUAAUAAAAAAUAAGUUUAAACGUCUAAAACCUUCAUUUAAAAUGAAAUUAUGACUAUUUGAAUAUAAUAAAAAAUUCAAUAAAAUAUUCUAUUUUCUUAUAAAACAAUAUUUUUAGAGUUAUCGGUAAAUAAUUUUUGUAACGUAAAAGCUAAAUAAAUUCAUACAUACUGUAAUAUAGAUAACAAAAGUAUAAAAUUUAAUUUACAAUGACACAUGGGCCCACGAACAACCAAAAGUAUCAAAAGCGAUAAACCUAUAGUUUUUUAGGAUGCAAGUCCAACUGUAGCCCUCAACAAAGUGAGCUAUCUACCAACUAUCCUGAGCCUGAAAUGGGUGAAAAGGAGGGUGGUGAGAUUAUAUAUUCCUAGUGAGUAAACAAAUACCAUCUAAAAUAUCUAAAGCUGAGUAAAUGGAGAUAGAUAAAAUAGUUUAACAUACUGUAAUUCAUCACCUUUCAACUCAUUUCAACCAAACAAAAUCAAUUCAUAUAAAUCGAGUAAUCAACAUCGCUUAUGAAUUUCUUAAAAGCUUUGGCUCGUGCCAAAAUCAUUCUCAUACUCAGUUAUCAAGGAUACCUUGGCCGAGGGCUAUUCCAACCGAGUCCGCCAAGGCUAUUAAAAAGUUAUAUAUGCAUAAAUCAUGUUUUUAUUUUGAAAACAUAGUCGUUUCUUAGAGUUGGUUGAGUUCACCCUCAUGUAGUGGUUUGGCGUGAAGUGAACUCUAAAGUGUUAACCUUAGGAGUUAUCCAUCCCCGCCUCUCAUACUAAGGUAUGAAUAUAAUAGGGUUACCGUGCCCCCUCUAGUAGGCUGGUCCACGGAAGCCGUCCACUGCAGCGACUAAUCAAUAACCCACCAAUUCAAUAAAAUUCAACAACAUGACAUGGCAAUUUUAUCAUUAUCCAGCCUAUCAAGGCAAACAACAGUUUAUACAUUUUCAACACAAAUACCAAUUCAACCAUUCAUGCCAAUAUUAUCAUAAGCCAUUCAAUUCAAACCAUGAUUUAUAACACAACAAUUAGUCUGCAAUUACUCCAUUUUCAAAACCAUCAUUCAAUUUCAAGACAAUUUUAUAAAAUCAUUUCAUUUAAACACAUUUUGUUUAUAAAACAUAAAGAUUUACUAUUUAAACUCAUUUUCCAUAAAAUCACAAAAUCGGAUAAAAACCACUUUAGAUAAUUAAGACGAUAGUAAGGUUACUCACUAUUUCGGGAGUCAAAUUCCGAGCACUCCGAUUCUUGAUCCUCGGGUACUAUCUCUUUACUUUUGCCAGAAUGCUCACCACCUAGACAUAAUGCACAAUAAGCUAUUUACUACAUUUGUGCUAAAUUGUUAUAAAACCAAUUCAAGCUUUAUACUAAUGCAUGAAAUGGGAUGUGAAAUACUUAGGUAAUUAUCUAAAUACGAUGUUCAAUAUAAAUUCAAUUAUGUACCUAAAUAAAACGGUAUUAGCCUAAUUCGAUCUAUCACCCGAUUAAUUGGCUAAUACGUCCAAUUCAACUCCAAAUAAUUCCAUUUUUCUCCCAAUACUCCAAAUCACCAAACACAAAUUAAAUAACUUGAAAUAUAGCAAAAUCAUCUUCACAUUUUCUCUUGGAAAAUUCGACCAUCGUGAGUGCAUCAACACUAUAAUUUUUCAAGCUUGAUUCUCUCACCAUAAAUCACUAAUUCCUAACCAAAUCACUUGAAAUAAAAUCAAAAUCAUCCUCAAUAUUCCACAUGGAGAAUUCAGCCAAUGAUGGGUGAAGGAAGAACAUGAAUUUUUCUUGCUUGAUUUUCAUACUACACAUCACCAAUCAACUAAAAACACUAAAAUACAUUGAAAUCUAACCAAAUCAAGCAUCAAAACCUCUCUCUAAGUGUUCAGCUAGCAAGAUACCUAUCAUGAAAUCAUGUGAUUCAACCAUGGAAAAUGCAAAAGAAUGUAUGGGAAAGGUAGAUCACAAGUCAAAAUCAAGAAAUUUUACCUUUGAUUGCUUGAUUACUUGAAUUUCACCAAUUUUCUCUUGAAUUUUCACCCUAGGGUUCUUGUUCUUUCUUUUCUUCCUUUGUUCUUGCUUUGGCCGGCCAUAUGAAGAGAAAUG